This is a non-coding RNA of Aspergillus leporis, 110 nucleotides long. NCBI's taxonomy places the organism in Eukaryota, Fungi, Ascomycota, Eurotiomycetes, Eurotiales, Aspergillaceae. The record is from the annotation of a GenBank genome assembly.
GCAUCAGUAGUCUAGUGGUUAUGAUGCGGCCUUCCCACCUUUCUGAGGAAAAUUGGCUAAAGCCGAUUGGGAUUAGGCCGAGGUCCUGGGUUCGAACCCCAGCUGUUGCA